GCAUCUUAGCAGGACAGGAUGGAUUCGGAGGCAGAUUUUUUCUUUAUUUUGUAUUUUUUUUUUAAAAAAGAGAAAAGAAAAGACUGCGUUUCGGAAUUCAGUUUCGCUUUAUAUUAGUUUUCUAAAUUUCUUAAUUCAUCUCUUUAAAAAAAAAACACAGCCCCUCUUGUAUUGAACACAAUUAAUUCAAUAGGAAAUAUUAUCGGUGCCUUGGCUGCCACCUGCCGGUUUCAAUUAGAAUUGCACAUGUGCAUAGGAAUAGUAAUAUAUCCUCUACUAAAAUGUCUGCCAGUGUACACUUUCCUCUACCAAGAUGGCGGCCCGUCCCCGACAGUUUUCCUCCCGCAAAAUAGACGCUUUCUUUACCAAAAUGUCUUCCUUUGCGCGUCGCCGCCCAACUAGAACGCCAAUCUGAUUUGGUUUAGCAAGGUGGCCGACGCCUGGCUUCACUCCACUUUCCUGUGAGGAUUUCAAAGGGAUGGGCGUAUCCCCGCAUUCCCGUUUUCCCUUUGUUUGCAAGAGUGUCCACGACGGGGCGUUGAAUAAAGUUUUAAAGCGGUUGAAUCCGCAGUGACUCGGGAAAGAGAACAGCGAUGGAGGAUCUGGAUUUUAUCCCGGGGGAUCUCAGCUCGGAGGAGCGCCUGGAGCUUGAAGAGAUUCGACGCAGGAAAGGUGUUCUGCUGCUGGAGAUCCAGAGACUUAAAGAUGAGCUGAGAGAGGCCAUGAUGGAAGUGGAGGGACUGGAGAGCAACACAGAGGGGAGCAAAACGUUACAGAAAAGCCGUCAUGUGGCCAUGGGUCGAAAAAAGUUCAACAUGGAUCCCAAAAAGGGUAUUCAGUUCCUGGUUGAAAACGAGUUGCUGUGCCACACAGCUGAAGAAAUCGCUCAGUUCCUGUACAAAGGGGAGGGGCUCAACAAGACUGCGAUCGGGGAUUAUCUCGGUGAAAGGGACGACUUCAAUAUCCGAGUCCUCCAUGCGUUUGUGGAUCUCCACGAGUUCACAGACCUCAAUCUGGUGCAAGCGCUCAGACAGUUUCUCUGGAGUUUCCGGUUGCCCGGGGAGGCACAGAAAAUCGACAGGAUGAUGGAAGCAUUCGCUCAGCGAUACUGUCACUGCAACCCCGGUGUCUUUCAGAGUACAGACACCUGCUAUGUUCUGUCGUUCGCCAUCAUCAUGCUGAACACCAGUCUGCACAACCCCAACGUGAGAGACAAGCCGGGGGUGGAGAGAUUCAUCUCCAUGAACAGAGGAAUCAACGAGGGAGGGGACCUGCCAGAGGAGCUGCUGAGGAAUCUUUACGACAGCAUCAAGAACGAGCCGUUCAAAAUCCCCGAGGAUGAUGGGAAUGACCUGACGCACACUUUCUUCAACCCUGACCGGGAGGGCUGGCUCCUCAAACUGGAUGAUGCUGAGCGUUUGCACAUAGCUCUGUGCUCCUUAACAAUAAACCCACAACACAAAGAGCUCAAUCUUUUCUCUCUGCCAAGAUCAACAGACCCAACCUUUCCUGCUGCGUCGCUGUUGCCUUGUUCUGUUAAAGUCUUCCGUUUGAACAUUCAAUGAUUUGAAGUUUGCUGAGAGAAAGCAUUUGCAGCAGUGAGGUACAGAUUUGAGACGAGAUGCUUGCGAGAAAUUCUUUGGUUUCCAAAACGCGGCAGUCAGAUCACUAACGAUGAAGGCUGUAACAAAAUAUUUUAAAAAUGUCCUUUUAUACAUUGAGAAGGGUUACAUUUACUAUCUUCAGUGUUUUCUGAAGUGGGGCACAGGAAAUAAAAAAUCCUGUUUAUAAAUUCUGUGUUUGUUUCACUGAGUUUCCUGUCGUAGUCUGUACGCUGUUUUUAUAUCAAUAAAUUCAUUUCCAGGACUUUCGUCUGAAGGCUCUGAAUACGUUUCAGAUUUUCAGUUUGUCUCGAUUGAAUUAAAUCCAGUUUAAAACGUUUUUUAAAGGUCAAUACAGUUUCACGAAAACCAAACUGGGUUUCAUAUUUUGUUCUGAGGUUCAGUUGUGUAUAAAAGUAACUAAUUAUGACGUCUUUGUAAGGGGUGGUUUGUCUGGUCCUGUGCUUUCACUGUGGUAUACAUUUCUGCAUGAUCUUGGCUAAUGUGACUAAUAUUUCUCUUUCUCUCUCUUUCUCCCUCCCUUUCUUACCACUCUCUCUCCUCUCCUCUCCUCUCCCGCCUUACUCUCCCUCUCUCCUCUCUCUUCUACUGAUUGCUCUUAAGGAGGGGGUCGCGUGAAAACGUGGAAAAGACGCUGGUUCAUCCUGACAGACAAUUGCCUCUACUACUUUGAGUACACCACGGAUAAGGAACCUCGAGGGAUU
This is an RNA transcript of Acipenser ruthenus (sterlet), 2326 nucleotides long. It is a transcript of the gene named cytohesin-2, with no coding region annotated. NCBI's taxonomy places the organism in Eukaryota, Metazoa, Chordata, Actinopteri, Acipenseriformes, Acipenseridae. The transcript is spliced from 11 exons. The record is from RefSeq and is a predicted model, not a curated record.